This 303-nucleotide ribosomal RNA is filed under the name uncultured bacterium. RNAcentral describes it as "partial 16S ribosomal RNA". It matches the Rfam family "Archaeal small subunit ribosomal RNA", at positions 457 to 759 of the family's 1478-position model. The record is from RNAcentral.
AGCAGUCGCCGCGGUAAUACCAGCAGCCCAAGUGGUGGUCGCGAUUAUUGGGCCUAAAGCGCUCGUAGCCGGGCCGGUAAGUCCCUUGUGAAAUCGGACGGCCUAACCGUUCGGCGUGCAAGGGAUACUGUCGGUCUUGAGGCCGGGAGGCGUCCGAGGUACUCCGGGGGUAGCGGUGAAAUGUUCUGAUCCUCGGGGGACCACCGGUGGCGAAGGCGUUCGACGAGAACGGGCCUGACGGUGAGGGGCGAAGGCUAGGGGAGCGAACAGGAUUAGAUACCCCAGUAGUCCCUGUCUCUUAUA